RNAcentral lists this unclassified non-coding RNA (352 nucleotides) under soil metagenome. RNAcentral's name for it is "partial contains 5.8S ribosomal RNA, internal transcribed spacer 2, and large subunit ribosomal RNA". The stretch from base 1 to 120 matches the Rfam family "5.8S ribosomal RNA", at positions 35 to 154 of the family's 154-position model. The record is from RNAcentral.
GAUGAAGAACGUAGCGAAAUGUGAUAAGUAAUGUGAAUUGCAGAAUUCAGUGAAUCAUCGAAUCUUUGAACGCUCAUUGCGCCCGCCAGUAUUCUGGCGGGCAUGCCUGUUCGAGCGUCAUUACAACCCUCAGGCCCCCGGGCCUGGCGUUGGGGAUCGGCGGAGCCCCCCGUGGGCACACGCCGUCCCCCAAAUACAGUGGCGGUCCCGCCGCAGCUUCCAUCGCGUAGUAGCUAACACCUCGCGACUGGAGAGCGGCGCGGCCACGCCGUAAAACACCCAACUCUUCUGAAGUUGACCUCGAAUCAGGUAGGAAUACCCGCUGAACUUAAGCAUAUCAAUAAGCGGAGGA